This 624-nucleotide ribosomal RNA is filed under the name uncultured bacterium. RNAcentral describes it as "bacterial SSU rRNA". It matches the Rfam family "Bacterial small subunit ribosomal RNA", at positions 173 to 797 of the family's 1533-position model. The record is from RNAcentral.
GCAUAUAUUUCCCGCAUGGGUUUUAUAUUAAAGAAAUUCGGUAUGAGAUGGGGAUGCGUUUCCAUUAGUUUGUUGGGCGGGGUAACGGCCCACCAAGACUACGAUGGAUAGGGGUUCUGAGAGGAAGGUCCCCCACAUUGGAACUGAGACACGGUCCAAACUCCUACGGGAGGCAGCAGUGAGGAAUAUUGGUCAAUGGACGCGAGUCUGAACCAGCCAAGUAGCGUGAAGGAUGACUGCCCUAUGGGUUGUAAACUCCUUUUAUAUGGGAAUAAAGUGGUCCACGUGUGGAUUUUUGUAUGUACCAUAUGAAUAAGGAUCGGCUAACUCCGUGCCAGCAGCCGCGGUAAUACGGAGGAUCCGAGCGUUAUCCGGAUUUAUUGGGUUUAAAGGGAGCGUAGGCGGAUUGUUAAGUCAGUUGUGAAAGUUUGCGGCUCAACCGUAAAAUUGCAGUUGAUACUGGCAGUCUUGAGUGCAGUAGAGGUGGGCGGAAUUCGUGGUGUAGCGGUGAAAUGCUUAGAUAUCACGAAGAACUCCGAUUGCGAAGGCAGCUCACUGGAGUGUAACUGACGCUGACGCUCGAAAGUGUGGGUAUCAAACAGGAUUAGAUACCCUGGUAGUCCA